UACGUAGGGUGCGAGCGUUGUCCGGAAUUAUUGGGCGUAAAGGGCUCGUAGGCGGUUUGUCACGUCGGGUGUGAAAACUCGGGGCUUAACCCCGAGCCUGCUUCCGAUACGGGCUGACUAGAGGUAUGCAGGGGAGAACGGAAUUCCUGGUGUAGCGGUGAAAUGCGCAGAUAUCAGGAGGAACACCGGUGGCGAAGGCGGUUCUCUGGGCAUUACCUGACGCUGAGGAGCGAAAGUGUGGGGAGCGAACAGG
This 253-nucleotide ribosomal RNA is filed under the name uncultured bacterium. RNAcentral describes it as "partial 16S ribosomal RNA". It matches the Rfam family "Bacterial small subunit ribosomal RNA", at positions 524 to 776 of the family's 1533-position model. The record is from RNAcentral.